This 253-nucleotide unclassified non-coding RNA is filed under the name uncultured Phycisphaeraceae bacterium. RNAcentral's name for it is "contains 16S-23S intergenic spacer region". It matches the Rfam family "Bacterial small subunit ribosomal RNA", at positions 524 to 776 of the family's 1533-position model. The record is from RNAcentral. Lineage: Bacteria; Pseudomonadati; Planctomycetota; Phycisphaerae; Phycisphaerales; Phycisphaeraceae.
UACGAGAGGCCCGAGCGUUAAUCGGAAUCACUGGGCUUAAAGCGUGCGCAGGCGGAUCGGCAGGCAUCCUGUGAAAUCCCACGGCUCAACCGUGGAACAGCGGGGUGAACCGCCGGUCUUGAGGCAGGUAGGGGCUGAUGGAACUAUGGGUGGAGCGGUGAAAUGCGUAGAUAUCCAUGGGAACGCCGAUGGCGAAGGCAGUCAGCUGGGCCUGUCCUGACGCUCAGGCACGAAAGCGCGGGGAGCAAACGGG